Molecule: transfer RNA, 94 nt
Filed under: Anaerolineales bacterium
Lineage: Bacteria; Bacillati; Chloroflexota; Anaerolineae; Anaerolineales
Description: tRNA-Sec
Rfam family: Selenocysteine transfer RNA
Source: RNAcentral
GGGGGUGGUUGGGUCCCGGUGGACUCCCCGGUCUUCAAAACCGGUGGCGGGCCGCACAGCGGGCCGCGGUGGGUUCGACUCCCAUCCACUCCCG